RNAcentral lists this ribosomal RNA (399 nucleotides) under uncultured bacterium. RNAcentral describes it as "bacterial SSU rRNA". It matches the Rfam family "Bacterial small subunit ribosomal RNA", at positions 360 to 775 of the family's 1533-position model. The record is from RNAcentral.
AAUCUUGCGCAAUGGGCGAAAGCCUGACGCAGCGACGCCGCGUGCGGGAUGAAGGCCUUCGGGUUGUAAACCGCUUUCAGCAGGGACGAAAUUGACGGUACCUGCAGAAGAAGGCCCGGCCAACUACGUGCCAGCAGCCGCGGUAAUACGUAGGGGCCUAGCGUUGUCCGGAUUUAUUGGGCGUAAAGAGCUCGUAGGCGGUUCGGUAAGUCAGGUGUGAAAUCUCCACGCUCAACGUGGAGCGGUCAUCUGAUACUGCCGUGACUCGAGUCCGGUAGGGGAGUGUGGAAUUCCCGGUGUAGCGGUGAAAUGCGCAGAUAUCGGGAGGAACACCAGUGGCGAAGGCGGCACUCUGGGCCGGUACUGACGCUGAGGAGCGAAAGCGUGGGGAGCGAACAG